RNAcentral lists this ribosomal RNA (200 nucleotides) under uncultured bacterium. RNAcentral's name for it is "partial 16S ribosomal RNA". It matches the Rfam family "Bacterial small subunit ribosomal RNA", at positions 524 to 723 of the family's 1533-position model. The record is from RNAcentral.
UACGAACUGCGCAAACGUUAUUCGGAAUCACUGGGCUUACAGGGUGCGUAGGCGGCCCAUCAGGUCAGAUGUGAAAUCCCACAGCUCAACUGUGGAACUGCAUUUGAAACCGGCGGGCUUGAGUGAGCUAGAGGUAUACGGAACUUCCGGUGGAGCGGUGAUAUGUGUUGAUAUCGGAAGGAACACCAGAGGCGAAAGCG